Molecule: long non-coding RNA, 843 nt
Filed under: Marmota monax (woodchuck)
Lineage: Eukaryota; Metazoa; Chordata; Mammalia; Rodentia; Sciuridae
Source: RNAcentral
GUCUCAUUCAUCUCUAUAAGUUGAUGGAUUUAUUGGGCUUUCUGUUUCACCCUGGGGCACAAGGCUGGAAAGCAGGAGAGCUGGACCACAUUUCAUGCUGCUCAGACUAGGUAGUCCAUGUUCUAGAAGCAGCAACAGCUCAGCAGAUGCUACUCGUCAGGAGACUAAGCUUCGUGCCUUAGUCCCACACACACUAAUUCUGUCAAUCAUAUAGAUGUAAGUAAUCCAGAUUAAAUAUUUUUUUACUUUGUUGUUUUGUCUUAGGUUUGGGUUUUAUUUUUUGUUUGUUUUUGUUUUUAAUACUGGGGAUUAGACCCAUAAGUGCUUAGCUACUGAGCUAUACAUCCCCAGCCCUUUGUAAAUAUUUUAUGUAGAGACAGGGUCUUGAUAAGUUGCAUUGGACCUUGCUAAGUUCCUGAGCCUGGCUUUGAACUCAGGAUUCUCCUGCCUCAGCCUCCCCAGCCUCUGGGAUGACAAGCUUGCAUCUCCACACCCAGAUUUUUGUUGCUUUUAAGGGCAAAAAGCAAAGUAUUAUUAGUUCUCAGGCUGAAUUCUCUCUCCUUCCUGCUUUUAAAGUUACAAAAUAAAAUUCUGUUUUCCUGGUAUUUGAGCUGCUUAGAAUGUCUCAAGAGACUGUUUGCUCUGUGGUAAGACUGCCUUCUGUGCAUGAGAUGCUCUUCGAGAAAAUCCAGUAGCCAAAUAAUUACUAUCAAAUGAGACAAAUUGAGUGCAAUCAUUCAUGUUAUAAAUGGCUCCUUACUUAUGAAUCCUUGGCCAUAGGAUUCCUUUGAAUAGAAAAACUAACUAUUCUAAAGCUUUUCCAAUAGAAUUCAAUAGAGCAAA